Molecule: ribosomal RNA, 593 nt
Filed under: uncultured bacterium
Lineage: Bacteria
Description: partial 16S ribosomal RNA
Rfam family: Bacterial small subunit ribosomal RNA
Source: RNAcentral
UGGGGAAUUUUGGACAAUGGGGGCAACCCUGAUCCAGCAAUGCCGCGUGUGUGAAGAAGGCCUUCGGGUUGUAAAGCACUUUUGUCCGGAAAGAAAACGCCGUGGUUAAUACCCGUGGCGGAUGACGGUACCGGAAGAAUAAGCACCGGCUAACUACGUGCCAGCAGCCGCGGUAAUACGUAGGGUGCAAGCGUUAAUCGGAAUUACUGGGCGUAAAGCGUGCGCAGGCGGUCCGCUAAGACAGAUGUGAAAUCCCCGGGCUUAACCUGGGAACUGCAUUUGUGACUGGCGGGCUAGAGUAUGGCAGAGGGGGGUAGAAUUCCACGUGUAGCAGUGAAAUGCGUAGAGAUGUGGAGGAAUACCGAUGGCGAAGGCAGCCCCCUGGGCCAAUACUGACGCUCAUGCACGAAAAGCGUGGGGGAGCAAAACAGGAUUAGAUACCCUGGUAGUCCACGCCCUAAACGAUGUCAACUAGUUGUCGGGUCUUCAUUGACUUGGUAACGUAGCUAACGCGUGAAGUUGACCGCCUGGGGAGUACGGUCGGCAAGAUUAAAAACUCAAAGGAAAUUGAGCGGGGUCAUAGCUGUUUCCUG